UAUAGCACUUGUACUGUGAAACUGCGAAUGGCUCAUUAAAUCAGUUAUCGUUUAUUUGAUAGUACCUUACUACAUGGAUACCUGUGGUAAUUCUAGAGCUAAUACAUGCUAAAAACCCCGACUUCAGGAAGGGGUGUAUUUAUUAGAUAAAAAACCAACGCCCUUCGGGGCUCCUUGGUGAAUCAUAAUAACUUAACGAAUCGCAUGGCCUUGCGCCGGCGAUGGUUCAUUCAAAUUUCUGCCCUAUCAACUUUCGAUGGUAGGAUAGUGGCCUACCAUGGUGGCAACGGGUAACGGGGAAUUAGGGUUCGAUUCCGGAGAGGGAGCCUGAGAAACGGCUACCACAUCCAAGGAAGGCAGCAGGCGCGCAAAUUACCCAAUCCCGAUACGGGGAGGUAGUGACAAUAAAUACUGAUACGGGGCUCUUUUGGGUCUCGUAAUUGGAAUGAGAACAAUUUAAAUCCCUUAACGAGGAACAAUUGGAGGGCAAGUCUGGUGCCAGCAGCCGCGGUAAUUCCAGCUCCAAUAGCGUAUAUUAAAGUUGUUGCAGUUAAAAAGCUCGUAGUUGAACCUUGGGUCUGGCUGGCCGGUCCGCCUCACCGCGAGUACUGGUCCGGCUGGACCUUUCCUUCUGGGGAACCUCAUGGCCUUCACUGGCUGUGGGGGGAACCAGGACUUUUACUGUGAAAAAAUUAGAGUGUUCAAAGCAGGCCUUUGCUCGAAUACAUUAGCAUGGAAUAAUAGAAUAGGACGUGUGGUUCUAUUUUGUUGGUUUCUAGGACCGCCGUAAUGAUUAAUAGGGAUAGUCGGGGGCGUCAGUAUUCAGCUGUCAAAGGGGAAAUUCUUGGAUUUGCUGAAAACUAACUACUGCGAAAGCAUUCGCCAAGGAU
RNAcentral lists this ribosomal RNA (890 nucleotides) under Penicillium sp. RNAcentral describes it as "SSU rRNA". It matches the Rfam family "Eukaryotic small subunit ribosomal RNA", at positions 66 to 965 of the family's 1831-position model. The record is from RNAcentral. Lineage: Eukaryota; Fungi; Ascomycota; Eurotiomycetes; Eurotiales; Aspergillaceae.